CUCUCUCUCUUUAUUUUUAUUUUGCAUUUUCAUUUCCCACAGUAAAAAUUAAGUUUGAAAUAUUUUUUGUUAAUAUUAAUAAUUUAUAUUAAUUUUCUUGAUAGAAUUUAAGCCUUAAUCAUAAUAAAAAUCGAAUGAAUAUCUGGCUAAUCAUUUGUAUCCUGAAACAGUGAUAUUUAAUUUUAAAACGUGUAUUCAAAGCGAAAUUUCAGGUUAGAACACCCGGGAAAAUUCACAUGGGUCUUAAAAUGAGCAGAAAAUUGCCUUUAGUUGUGAUUUUAGGCUCCACUGGUACAGGAAAGACUAAAUUAUCACUUGAGUUAGCUAAAAAAUUCAAUGGGGAAAUUGUUGGUGCUGAUUCAAUGCAGAUUUACAAGGAACUUGACAUAGCUUCUGCAAAAGCCACAAAGGAAGAAUUGGCCAGUGCUCCACACCACAUGGUCAACAUUUUAGAACCUCAUGAGAAGUUCACAGUUCUUGAAUAUAGAAACCAGGUGUUACCAAUAAUCGAUGACAUGUUUUCAAGAAGUAAACUUCCAAUAGUAGUUGGUGGCACUAAUUACUAUAUAGAAUCAAUUCUCUGGAAGCUUUUAGUUGAUGAGCCUGGUACAAAAGUGAAAUCUGAAUUUGGAAAAUUGCCGAACAAUGAACAUGAGUUACCAAGCCCUGUUUUACAUGAAAAAUUAAAAAACCUGGAUCCUGUUAUGGCUAAGAGAUUGCAUCCCAAUAAUAAAAGGAAAAUUAUCAGAUCUUUGGAGGUGUUAUAUCAAAAAGGAAUAACGCAUAGCCAAAUAAUAGAAGAGCAAGGAGGGUCUUCAAAAUCUGGUGGAGGUCUACGAUAUGACAAUGCCAUUGUUUUUUGGUUGCAAUGUGACAAGGAUGUCCUUGACAAAAGAUUAGAUGACAGGGUAGCUAAAAUGCUGGAGGAAGGUCUGCUGGAUGAGCUGCUACGUUUUCAUAAACUUUAUAACGAGGAAAGGUUUAAAGAUAAAACAGUAGAUGCAGAUUAUUCCAAAGGCAUUUUCCAAUCAAUAGGCUUCAAGGAGUUUCACUCUUACCUUUUGUUGCAAGAUGAUGAAAAAAAUACGGAACAAGGAAAAAAGAUAUUAAAUGAAUCUCUGAAAAUGUUAAAGAUUGCUACUAAGAGAUAUGCCAGAAAACAGACGAAGUGGACUAUUAGUAGGUUUUUGGCAAGAAAAGAUAGACAGGUACCUCCUAUGUACGGUCUCGAUACGACUAACGUAUCAGAGUGGAAUGAAAACGUGACUAAACCUGCAUUUCAUAUAGUGGAUAGUUUUAUUUCGAGAAAAAAGUGCGAUAUUGAACCGAUUCCUAUGCGAGAAGAUUUAUAUUCAAUACCCAAUACUUUAGAAGAAACUUAUAUCUGUGAAGUUUGCAAGAAAAUAUUAGUGGGAGAGAGGCAGUAUGAGGUGCAUAUGAAAUGUCGCAAACAUAAAAUGAUGCUGGCGAAGUCCAAACGUGAAUUAAAAGCGGAAUUGGUUGAAGAAAGUGAAGAUAUGGCAAAUAAAGUGUAAGAAGAAAUGGAAAAAUUCAUGUUAUACGUAAAAUAUAGUGUUAAGUUAAAAAAUAAAGACAUUAUUAGAAAGUAAUUGCAUUAAGUGGAGUAUACUGUGCAGUGGAUGUCUUCUUAAAGGAUCUUUCAUGUUAAGCACCCGUACCCAACAACGGAUCUGAUCCACAGACCGAAAAAUCGCAACACGCUACAGAGCCGAUCUGCUGCCAAGAUAACUCUCGCUAUAAGUUAAUUACGUCGUGUAUCUAGGUGUAGUAUAACUAAUAUUAAUUUAAAAUUAAAUAUACAAAGCUUUAUACAGAAA
RNA transcript from Anthonomus grandis grandis, 1838 nucleotides. It is a transcript of the gene named tRNA dimethylallyltransferase, with no coding region annotated. The transcript has 7 exons. Lineage: Eukaryota; Metazoa; Arthropoda; Insecta; Coleoptera; Curculionidae. The record is from RefSeq and is a predicted model, not a curated record.